CUGCCAUAGCAACUGCGUUGGAGAAGCGGAAGUGACCUCAAUAAUGGACUUUGUGUGCUCUAUAACUAUUGAAGGAUAAAGGUUCACAGUUUCCAUUCGACAUGUACCUACAGAAGGACCGGGAGGAUAUGUCUGAACAUGCGUUGGACUGACAGUUAGUCCAGGACCAUUCGGGAGAAAUGAUUAAACUCCUGGUUGGGAAGUUCUACGUCUGAUUGGAUCCACACCAACUUCUCUAGGAUUAAUAAAAACCAGUGAACCAA
Xiphophorus couchianus (Monterrey platyfish) is the source of this 263-nucleotide long non-coding RNA. RefSeq lists it as uncharacterized. The record is from RefSeq and is a predicted model, not a curated record. Lineage: Eukaryota; Metazoa; Chordata; Actinopteri; Cyprinodontiformes; Poeciliidae. The transcript is spliced from 2 exons.